CCCUUAGACGUUCUGGGCCGCACGCGCGCUACACUGACCAGUGCAACAAGCAUCCGUCCUUGGCCGACAGGCCCGGGCAAUCUUUGAACGCUGGUCGUGAUGGGGAUAGACUUUUGCAAUUUUUGGUCUUCAACGAGGAAUUCCUAGUAAACGCAAGUCAUCAACUUGCAUUGAUUACGUCCCUGCCCUUUGUACACACCGCCCGUCGCACCUACCGAUUGAAUGGUCCGGUGAAGCCUCCGGAUUGGCGCGCACCUCGGUGCCGCCGAGAAGUUGGCUAAACCUUACCAUUUAGAGGAAGGUGAAGUCGUAACA
RNAcentral lists this ribosomal RNA (315 nucleotides) under uncultured eukaryote. RNAcentral's name for it is "partial 18S ribosomal RNA". It matches the Rfam family "Eukaryotic small subunit ribosomal RNA", at positions 1470 to 1796 of the family's 1831-position model. The record is from RNAcentral.